CUGCCACCACCACCUGGGGAGCAGGGUCUCCACACCUGCUUGCCGGGCACACAGGGGGCACCCACCUGGCCAAGGAACAAGCCCCCCAGCCCAGCAGGAUGAAGCAGCGACACCAGCCCAAGCCUGGAGACACCUGAAGCAUGGGGGUGCCAUCAGCCAUGUACUCAUGGCUCCCUGGGUCGACCUCCCUUCCCGCUGGAGACCUGCCGCCUUCAGCACCUAGGAUGCAUGGCCACCCGGUGGAGGAGGAAGGCCCUGAGCAGACGAAGUGAGAAGGGCUGAACGUGGCCACACGAGCGCCACAGCCGCCUGGGCUGCAGGGGACAUGCAAGGCAGAGGCACCAGCCAGGGGUCGUGGCCACGGGCAGCACAGGCCCCAGAGAAGAAGGGCCCCCAGAGAUGAAUGGACCCCAGAGAGACAACAGGCCCCAGAGAGAUAAAGGGCCCCAGAGAGACAAAGGGCCCCAGAGAGACAAAAGGUCCCCAGAGAUACUGCAGGCUCCCAGAGAGAUAUAGGCUCCUAGAGAGACCACAGGGCCCCUGAGAUAGAUACCACAUGAUCCCCAAAGAGACCCUGAGACCCUCAGAAAUGUCCCAGGGCCUCCUGGGGAGACCAGAGGGUCCCCAGAGAGGGCCGGCGGGUGCUGAGGCAGCCUCUCUGUUUGGCAGUUAAUCCAGGGGAGGAAGUCAUUUAUCCAGUUUGAUUAGGGAGACAGGGAGGGACUGCUGGCCGUACUACUAGCUGGAAAUGACAGUCCAGGCUUUAAGGAAAUGUGCUCACUCGCAUUUGAGCGGUGUUUACAUUUCUCUGGAAACACAGACAAGUCCUCUCCAGUCUUGGGGGGCUAGCACUUCCUGGACUCUCACUGGAGGUCUUACAGCCCCUGCACUCACCACUGGGCAGCCUGGCUGGGCUGCCUGCCAUCAGGGACAUCACUCCAACCACUCAGAGAGGGGCCCUGGUUCCUCAGAGCUUAAAAAUGAAAGGUAAUUCC
This is a long non-coding RNA of Erinaceus europaeus (western European hedgehog), 995 nucleotides long. RefSeq lists it as uncharacterized. The record is from RefSeq and is a predicted model, not a curated record. The transcript is spliced from 3 exons. NCBI's taxonomy places the organism in Eukaryota, Metazoa, Chordata, Mammalia, Eulipotyphla, Erinaceidae.